Molecule: ribosomal RNA, 253 nt
Filed under: uncultured bacterium
Lineage: Bacteria
Description: partial 16S ribosomal RNA
Rfam family: Bacterial small subunit ribosomal RNA
Source: RNAcentral
UACGUAGGGAGCAAGCGUUGUCCGGAAUUAUUGGGCGUAAAGAGCUUGUAGGCGGUUUGUCGCGUCUGCUGUGAAAAUCCGGGGCUCAACCCCGGACUUGCGGUGGGUACGGGCAGACUAGAGUGUGGUAGGGGAGACUGGAAUUCCUGGUGUAGCGGUGAAAUGCGCAGAUAUCAGGAGGAACACCAAUGGCGAAGGCAGCUCACUGGGACGGUAUUGACGCUGAGACGCGAAAGCGUGGGGAGCAAACAGG